GGAGAGGUUGUUAGGUGCCACCAAAAGUUUUAUAAAAUCCUUGAUUGGUUUUCUUCUUAUUUUCUUAUCUAGAUUUGAAUCAAAUUCAAAACAAGAAGGAGAUAAGGAUCAUGACUUAUCAAGAAACAUCCUACCUAAUCCUUUUGAUUUGAAUCAUAUUCAUAUUAGGAAAGGAUAAGGAUCAUGACUCAUAAUGAAAC
Molecule: long non-coding RNA, 200 nt
Filed under: Elaeis guineensis (African oil palm)
Lineage: Eukaryota; Viridiplantae; Streptophyta; Magnoliopsida; Arecales; Arecaceae
Description: long non-coding RNA (EGUI_LNC063065)
Source: RNAcentral